CCUACGGGUGGCAGCAGUCGAGAAUCAUUCACAAUGGGGGAAACUCUGAUGGUGCGACGCCGCGUGGGGGAAUGCAGGUCUUCGGAUUGUAAAACCCUGUCAUGUGGGAGCAAAUGACAAAGAUAGUACCACAAGAGGAAGAGACGGCUAACUCUGUGCCAGCAGCCGCGGUAAUACAGAGGGGUCAAGCGUUGUUCGGCAUCACUGGGCGUAAAGCGUGCGUAGGCUGUUUGGUAAGUCGUGUGUGAAAGGCUCGGGCUCACCCCGCGGACGGCACAUGAUACUGCGAGACUAGAGUAAUGGAGGGGGAACCGGAAUUCUCGGUGUAGCAGUGAAAUGCGUAGAUAUCGGGAGGAACACUCGUGGCGAAGGCGGGUUCCUGGACAUUAACUGACGCUGAGGCACGAAGGCCAGGGGAGCGAAAGGGAUUAGAUACCCGUGUAGUC
This 446-nucleotide ribosomal RNA is filed under the name uncultured bacterium. RNAcentral's name for it is "partial 16S ribosomal RNA". It matches the Rfam family "Bacterial small subunit ribosomal RNA", at positions 338 to 795 of the family's 1533-position model. The record is from RNAcentral.